RNAcentral lists this ribosomal RNA (484 nucleotides) under uncultured bacterium. Its description in RNAcentral is "partial 16S ribosomal RNA". It matches the Rfam family "Bacterial small subunit ribosomal RNA", at positions 30 to 507 of the family's 1533-position model. The record is from RNAcentral.
AUUGAACGCUGGCGGCAGGCCUAACACAUGCAAGUCGAGCGGAUGAAGGGAGCUUGCUCCUGGAUUCAGCGGCGGACGGGUGAGUAAUGCCUAGGAAUCUGCCUGGUAGUGGGGGAUAACGUCCGGAAACGGGCGCUAAUACCGCAUACGUCCUGAGGGAGAAAGUGGGGGAUCUUCGGACCUCACGCUAUCAGAUGAGCCUAGGUCGGAUUAGCUAGUUGGUGGGGUAAAGGCCUACCAAGGCGACGAUCCGUAACUGGUCUGAGAGGAUGAUCAGUCACACUGGAACUGAGACACGGUACAGACACCUACGGGAGGCAGCAGUGGGGAAUAGUGGACAAUGGGCGGAAGCCUGAUCGAGCCAUGCCGCGUGUGUGAAGAAGGUCUUCGGAUUGUAAAGCACUUUAAGUUGGGAGGAAGGGCAGUAAGUUAAUACCUUGCUGUUUUGACGUUACCAACAGAAUAAGCACCGGCUAACUUCGUG